UUUUAUGGAGAGUUUGAUCCUGGCUCAGGAUGAACGCUGGCGGCGUGCCUAAUACAUGCAAGUCGAGCGAACGGACGAGAAGCUUGCUUCUCUGAUGUUAGCGGCGGACGGGUGAGUAACACGUGGAUAACCUACCUAUAAGACUGGGAUAACUUCGGGAAACCGGAGCUAAUACCGGAUAAUAUUUUGAACCGCAUGGUUCAAAAGUGAAAGACGGUCUUGCUG
RNAcentral lists this ribosomal RNA (225 nucleotides) under Staphylococcus aureus. RNAcentral's name for it is "partial 16S ribosomal RNA". It matches the Rfam family "Bacterial small subunit ribosomal RNA", at positions 1 to 220 of the family's 1533-position model. Lineage: Bacteria; Bacillati; Bacillota; Bacilli; Caryophanales; Staphylococcaceae. The record is from RNAcentral.